Molecule: ribosomal RNA, 433 nt
Filed under: uncultured bacterium
Lineage: Bacteria
Description: bacterial SSU rRNA
Rfam family: Bacterial small subunit ribosomal RNA
Source: RNAcentral
GAUGAACGCUGGCGGCGUGCUUAACACAUGCAAGUCGAACGAACCUUCGGGUUAGUGGCGGACUGGUGAGUAACGCGUGAGAAUCUGCCCUCAGGAGGGGGACAACAGCUGGAAACGGCUGCUAAUACCCCAUAUGCCGCGAGGUGAAAUGAAUUUCGCCUGAGGAUGAGCUCGCGUCUGAUUAGCUAGUUGGUGUAGGUAAUGGCUCACCAAGGCAUCGAUCAGUAGCUGGUCUGAGAGGAUGAUCAGCCACACUGGGACUGAGACACGGCCCAGACUCCUACGGGAGGCAGCAGUGGGGAAUUUUCCGCAAUGGGCGAAAGCCUGACGGAGCAACGCCGCGUGAGGGAUGAAGGCCUCUGGGCUGUAAACCUCUUUUAUCAAGGAAGAAGAUCUGACGGUACUUGAUGAAUAAGCCACGGCUAAUUCCGUG